Long non-coding RNA from Cyprinus carpio carpio, 619 nucleotides. Lineage: Eukaryota; Metazoa; Chordata; Actinopteri; Cypriniformes; Cyprinidae. The record is from Ensembl.
GUAAGUAUUUUACAGUAUUAGUCCUGUAGAGAGCAGUAGAUCGUUUUAUUAAAUUGUUUUAUGCGCUCCCUUUGGUACUGUACAUGAGUAGGAACGGGGAGGGAGGAGCGUUCGUAGUAUUUCUCUUCAUUUCAAAUCCCUGUCGUGGCAGCACGGGUAAGGCAGAGGACUUUUCUCCCCUUCAAACUAAGGGGAAAACCCACCAGCGAGAAUCUAGUGCACGUCCUAAAGAGCAAACGGAGGACUUUGGGAGGAGGAAACAGUAGUUUGAAGGCACGCUGCGGUGGCAUCGGCUCGCUGUGUGCACUAGUGUCUCCACGCUUGCACUGGAUACACGAAGCAGGACGUUUUCACUGAUCUGCGACUCGCAGGAUCCCCGUGAUCUCCCUGAAAGCCGCCAAACGUUCACACGACAUCAUUCUAUAGGAGGUAUCUGUUGCUCAAGAUGGCGGCUGGUCUGGUUCACUCAAGGACGGGUCAGGCUGAGAGAGACCUGAAGAGCCUUCUGCGUUCUAGUCAGCGAAUGUAAAUGAGGUGAGGACAGCUUUUUUUUUUUUCACCCUAUGAUGUUUGGUUUACAAAGCUGGAUUGGGGUGCACUUCCCUUAUUUUUGUCACCC